RNAcentral lists this transfer RNA (73 nucleotides) under Candidatus Bathyarchaeota archaeon. Its description in RNAcentral is "tRNA-Tyr". It matches the Rfam family "tRNA". From Rfam's summary of the family: Transfer RNA (tRNA) molecules are approximately 80 nucleotides in length. The record is from RNAcentral. Lineage: Archaea; Thermoproteati; Candidatus Bathyarchaeota.
CCGGUGAUAGCUCAGUUGGUAGAGCGAUCGACUGUAGAUCGAUUGGUCGGGCGUUCAACUCGCCCUCGCCGGA